This 484-nucleotide ribosomal RNA is filed under the name uncultured bacterium. RNAcentral describes it as "partial 16S ribosomal RNA". It matches the Rfam family "Bacterial small subunit ribosomal RNA", at positions 30 to 507 of the family's 1533-position model. The record is from RNAcentral.
AUUGAACGCUGGCGGCAGGCCUAACACAUGCCAGUCGAGCGGAUGAAGGGAGCUUGCUCCUGGAUUCAGCGGCGGACGGGUGAGUAAUGCCUAGGAAUCUGCCUGGUAGUGGGGGAUAACGUCCGGAAACGGGCGCUAAUACCGCAUACGUCCUGAGGGAGAAAGUGGGGGGUCUUCGGACCUCACGCUAUCAGAUGAGCCUAGGUCGGAUUAGCUAGUUGGUGGGGUAAAGGCCUACCAAGGCGACGAUCCGUAACUGGUCUGAGAGGAUGAUCAGUCACACUGGAACUGAGACACGGUCCAGACUCCUACGGGAGGCAGCAGUGGGGAAUAUUGGACAAUGGGCGAAAGCCUGAUCCAGCCAUGCCGCGUGUGUGAAGAAGGUCUUCGGAUUGUAAAGCACUUUAAGUUGGGAGGAAGGGCAGUAAGUUAAUACCUUGCUGUUUUGACGGUACCAACAGAAUAAGCACCGGCUAACUUCGUG